Spinacia oleracea (spinach) is the source of this 1528-nucleotide long non-coding RNA. RefSeq lists it as uncharacterized. NCBI's taxonomy places the organism in Eukaryota, Viridiplantae, Streptophyta, Magnoliopsida, Caryophyllales, Amaranthaceae. The transcript has 2 exons. The record is from RefSeq and is a predicted model, not a curated record.
UCUAACUCAAAAUUUUCAAUUGUUUAAAGCUUUCGAUAAACCAACAAUUGGAUUUUUAAUAAUUUUGGAUUAUACUUACGAGUUUCUAAAAUUGAUGGGGUUUUUACGAAUGAAUCUUUAUUUCUUUAGAUUUUAAACCCCAUAUCUAAAUACCACAAUUUUGGGUUUUCUAAAUCUGCUCUCAAACUUGGGUUCUCAAUCCAUAAAUUGUUUAUAACCAAGAAUUCUGGUUGAGAUCUGCUACUGUUGCUUCCUUUCCUUUGAGUUUCUUGUUCAAAUUGUGCUUCAAUGGUUGCAAACUUGCAACUCUUAGUAAAUAAAAGGAGUAUGAAUGGAAUUUAAAUCUAGUUCUGGUUGGCCUUGUUGUUUAGCAUCUAGUUCUCCCCUUGUUUUUCAAUCCGUCAAAUUUAACGAAAAGGCUGCAGUUUUCAUCUUACAAACAACUAAUUAACAAAGUCUUCCUAGUCUAAAUUUGCAAGUGUUCCUAUGGCCUAUGUGAAAGGUUACGAAGUGAAGAAGAUGAAGGUAAAUUGGAUAAGUCGAUAGGAAUUGAUAUGAUUUAUACCGUAUUUUGAAGGUAAAUAAAUUAGUAAGUUGGUGGUUGGUAUUUUCACAGAUGUUGUUGAGCACUAGAACGAGGGGGCUAAACAUUUCGGGGAGGUUGGCUUGAAGGUGUUGGUAGUAGGUAUUUUGUGGAUACAUGUUGUGUGGUUGAUGAGGAGUGAACUGCGGCACGACUUGUUGCAUGAAGGGAGGUGUCCCUAGAACGGCGCUGGUACCUGCAACAUAAGGGAAAGGAGUUACGAAAUCAUGACUAACCGGAACAACUGACCUGGUAGGAGUGUUGUAUAGGGAAUAGUUUCGAGAGGAGUCCGGGCGGAGCGGAGUGUGUGGGAACGCCGCUUGUGGUGCUUGACUGGCUAGGGGAACCGCCAUUAUCUAAGGAGGUGCUCCUGGUGUAGAAGUGACUAAGUUUGCAACACGUUGGACGACUUGUUGGGAGAAGAUUUGAUCCCAGGGAGUUUGGGUCGUCGGUGUUGGUGUUGGCCUUUGCGAUAGCGCCGAGACGGGGAAAGGCAUCGACAAGUGUAGGGAGGUUUUUUUUUUUCCCGUUUCCUACAAGGGGGGGUUUUAGGAGGCCGUUCGGCUCGUUUAGAGAACCGUUUGAAUUUUUGCACCUCGAAGGAGUCGCCACCACACUUUAUUUAAGGUCUUGUUUGGAAAGACCGCAAAUGACUCUAUUUUUGGAUAAGGUCUUGAAUCCUUGAAACGGAUGGGUGAGAUCCGGGCUCGGGAACGAAAAUGCUUAUUCGGCGAGCUUUAGAAAUAUUCAAGUACGUUGGCACAACAUUAGUUCGAAAAUAAACCCUAGAUUAGACUAUGUGGGUUUGAAUUUUAGAGCAAAAUAGAAUUUCUAAUUGUACGGUGGUCACUUUGCUUUAAAGAUUGAUUUAAGGAACCUAAGGCCAGUUUGUCCAAAAAUAUCUUCGUUAAGCGUGAUGUAACCUUUGUAUUUUGUUGUAUUUAA